GACGAACGUUGGCGGUGUGCCUAAUACAUGCAAGUCGAACGGAGUUAGUAGCAAUACUGGCUCAGUGGCGAACGGGUGAGUAACGACGUUGGUGAUCUGCCUUGAAGUGUGGAAUAACGUUUCGAAAGAGACGCUAAUACCGCAUGUGCUCUCGAUUUUCAGAAAGUUGAGAGUAAAGGAUUUAUUCGCUUCAAGAGGAGCCUGCGUCCCAUCAGCUGGUUGGUAGGGUAACGGGCCUACCAAGGCUAUGACGGGUAGGGGACCUGAGAGGGUGGCCCCCCACAAUGGAACUGAAACACGGUCCAUACACCUACGGGUGGCAGCAGUAGGGAAUAUUAGAAAUGGACGAAAGUCUGAUCUAGCAACACCGCGUGUGCGAAGAAGGCCUUCGGGUCGUAAAGCACUUUUUGGAAGGAAUAGGAAGGAAUGUACUUCCAGAAUAAGUCUCGGCUAACUACGUG
This 461-nucleotide ribosomal RNA is filed under the name uncultured bacterium. RNAcentral's name for it is "bacterial SSU rRNA". It matches the Rfam family "Bacterial small subunit ribosomal RNA", at positions 28 to 507 of the family's 1533-position model. The record is from RNAcentral.